UGACCCAUUUUUAGAAGAAAAAAAAGUGCCUAGACGUAGGUUCAGAAACUUUUCACUAAAAUGAACAGAUUUGAAUUUAAAAUAAAUUUAAAGAGAAACUAACGUCUGUCGUUGGUAUUUGGGCAGCCCCAUUGAGAGUGAUUGGCAUUGGCGUUGCAGCCUAUUAACAAACCUGUCUUAAGUUUUUUACAUUCUUUUGCCAGCCCUCUGCCCAGCGCGUGCUUCUCAAAGGCCAUGUAGGCCGAUAGCAGCCUAAUGGCGCCAGGCUGUAGCUACAGACUUACCGCUGAAUUAUCUCAGCUACUUUUAUUACGAAGCAUAAGUAAACUAAGAUGCCGUUUGGCCAAUAUGCAGUUUCGGAUUUUACCGUUUUUGGGUUCAAGCAUAAACUUGUAUUUAUUUGUUCCUAGUCCAGCAGGCAGUUUUACGUCAUUGGAGUCGCCCUUAUACACUAUAAUAUGUAUUGCACUGAAGCCAUAGAUGAGCACCACAAUUGCCUGAAUUAUGUCACUGGGGAUGUCGCACCACUGUAGUGCAAUGAUUUUUGUUCCUUCGUAGACCUCUCCUACAGGGCUGAUGCCUGUUUAUAUAAGUCAGGCGUGUCAUCUUUUUUCGUUGUUCUGGUUAGUUCUGAAAUGGGUGGCAGUGUUACUGAUAGCAAUCUCCAAAUUUGACUUCUGUCCACAGUAAGCCCAAGCCUGCAGCAGAGUUUAUAACUGGAGUCCCGUCCAGAGUAAGGUGAUAACUGUUGAACCUGUUUAAUACAAAGGUAGCACGCUGAGACAUGGUAGGACUAGCGGCAAUAUUCCAUCUCGCCACUAAAGUUUCGAACUCGUUGAACAUGUCCUGGACCAUACCGCAUCUCGUCGCAGAGCAAUCUUCGCAAGAAACGCAGUUUUCCAAAGUAUCAGCAAAUUUGUUAGCUACCUCACUAUCUUUAUUUGCCGAAGUACCGUCCGAUCGAAGCAGGGAAAACUUCUGAAGACGCUGUUGCUUACAUUGGCUAAUAUUUUUCGGACAGAUAAAGUCCUUGCUAAAUAUAUUUGGUUUUCUCAAACGUCAAUGUGAGUGCUAAUUCUGAAAAGGACUCAGGCUACCUGCUUAGUUUUUUUUGGCUCGAUAAAAUUACAAAAAUUCUGGAAUGUGAGCGAGUGUUGAAAUGCAUUUUGUUUAUUAGCAUAAAAUCAAUU
This is a non-coding RNA of Drosophila suzukii, 1190 nucleotides long. The record is from RefSeq and is a predicted model, not a curated record. Lineage: Eukaryota; Metazoa; Arthropoda; Insecta; Diptera; Drosophilidae.